GACGAACGCUGGCGGCGUGCCUAACACAUGCAAGUCGAACGUGAAGCCGGUGCUUGCACCGGUGGAAAGUGGCGAACGGGUGAGUAACACGUGAGAAACCUACCCCGGAGACCGGGACAACCAUUGGAAACGAUGGCUAAUACCGGAUAUCCCCGGUCAGUCGCAUGGCUGACCGAGGAAAGGCUCUGGCGCUCUGGGAGGGUCUCGCGGCCUAUCAGUUUGUUGGUGGGUAACGGCCUACCAAGACAUCGACGGGUAGCUGGUCUGAGAGGACGAUCAGCCACACUGGGACUGAGACACGGCCCAGACUCCUACGGGAGGCAGCAGUGGGGAAUAUUGCGCAAUGGGCGAAAGCCUGACGCAGCAACGCCGCGUGAGGGAUGACGGCUUUCGGGUUGUAAACCUCUUUCAGUGAUGACGAAAAUGACGGUAGUCACAGAAGAAGGUCCGGCCAACUACGUG
RNAcentral lists this ribosomal RNA (462 nucleotides) under uncultured bacterium. Its description in RNAcentral is "bacterial SSU rRNA". It matches the Rfam family "Bacterial small subunit ribosomal RNA", at positions 28 to 507 of the family's 1533-position model. The record is from RNAcentral.